AGGAAAACGGCAGACCAGGGUUGUAUUUAUUGGGGGUGUGAGUGCCGCGCUGUAGGCUGUGGGAUGGUCGGGAGAGUGCAAGGUGUUGCUGUUAGGUGUGGUUGGGUUUACAGAAAGGGGAAGAGCAUGCAUAGAUAGAAUGGUGGAGUGAGGAAAAAAAAAGAGAGAGAUGGAAGGAUUGGUCAUGCGCAAGACCGCAGGCCGUUGGAGGCAGCUUAGAAAUCUCUUACAUCUGGAACAGCCAUAAUUCGUGGGAUUUGGCCUGACAGCCAUGACAGGCACUGGGGCGGCCAGCAACAACUGUCUCCUGUGUUAGCAGCAGUCUGUACGUUAGCUCCGUGAGAGAGAGGGAGAAAAAGAGACAGAGAAGGAGAGACAAAGAGUGUCAAUAUGCAGAAGCCGUGUGUAUACAUUCAAACUUCCACUUUAUCCCGGGAGCUCAUGGAGAUUAAACUCACCUCAACAAUGUAUGUAGCCUGAGCUGGAAUGGAUGAAAAUAUUUACUGUGUACACACCAUCCACAAAUCCUUUCCCUCUCUUGAUCCCUGGCUUUUAUUGUUUCCCUUCUCUCCCUGCUUUUUACUCCUGUCUUUGAACACGUGCACGCUCUGACACAGAUACGUGAAGAUAUGUGAAUAAAGGUGUUUCUAACA
Long non-coding RNA from Astatotilapia calliptera (eastern happy), 653 nucleotides. NCBI's taxonomy places the organism in Eukaryota, Metazoa, Chordata, Actinopteri, Cichliformes, Cichlidae. The record is from Ensembl.